RNAcentral lists this ribosomal RNA (465 nucleotides) under uncultured bacterium. RNAcentral's name for it is "partial 16S ribosomal RNA". It matches the Rfam family "Bacterial small subunit ribosomal RNA", at positions 28 to 507 of the family's 1533-position model. The record is from RNAcentral.
GACGAACGCUGGCGGCGUGCUUAACACAUGCAGGUCGAACGGAAAGGCCCUGCUUGCAGGGUACUCGAGUGGCGAACGGGUGAGUAACACGUGGGUGAUCUGCCCUGCACUUCGGGAUAAGCCUGGGAAACUGGGUCUAAUACCGGACAGGAGCCAUUUUUAGUGUGAUGGUUGGAAAGUUUUUUCGGUGUAGGAUGAGCUCGCGGCCUAUCAGCUUGUUGGUGGGGUAAUGGCCUACCAAGGCGGCGACGGGUAGCCGGCCUGAGAGGGUGGACGGCCACAUUGGGACUGAGAUACGGCCCAGACUCCUACGGGAGGCAGCAGUGGGGAAUAUUGCACAAGGGGCGCAAGCCGGAUGCAGCGACGCCGCGUGGGGGAUGACGGCCUUCGGGUUGUAAACUCCUUUCGCUAGGGACGAAGCUUUUUGUGACGGUACCUAGAUAAGAAGCACCGGCUAACUACGUG